UACAAGGAAUAAAUGACAUUAUAUUAAUUCUAAGUAGCAGAUACAACAAGAGCAGGGAGAAUCCAUGCAUUGAUACAAUCUAAGUGGACGACGACAAAUACUUUUGGACUAAGACAAGUUUAGAAAAUGCUGGCCGAAGUAUCACGACAAUGAGACAAGGUUGAAGAUUUUAAAAUUCAAUUACAAACAAAGUUUUCUUUGGUUAGAUGGAAAUAAUAAAAUUGGUGGGUUGGCCACUCAAUUGUUACAAGAUAAAUAUAACUUUGAAGAAAUAAAAAGCAAAUAGCAGGAAAAAAUAGGCCAUUUCUAACACCGCAUCACUUUGUUCCUUUUAACAACUCCUCCCUAUAGAGUUUCCCAAAUCUAGUGCAUCUAACACCGACUCAUACAAGGAGACAUGGGAAGUGAAAGUUGGGCUGAUGUGUGGGGUGCUGGGGGUAUUGGUGCCAUGGAAAAUGAUGAUGCCAUUGGCAGCAGAUCCCAAAAUGACAUGGAUACCGGCGCCAACAACACCAAGAAAUCUACCAAGGGUGGCGGUGGUUUCACCAAAGUCAAGGCAGUUGCAAUGAUAGGUGUGCUCAAAAUCAAAAGCGGCACUUUAAUUUGUGUCAAUUGGAUCAAGAUCCAACUCAAGAGAAAGACUACAUCCAAAUAAAUGGGAUGCCCACUCCACUCGUUUUUUAUUAUUUGAUUAUUUCAUUGGGUGCCCAAAUGCGUAUACUUCCUAAAUCUACUUGUAGUACCUGAGAAAAUUUUAUAUGCUCCGAAAACAAGUGGUUCUCUUUAUUCUCCUUUCUUUUUUUUUUUAUUAAUCGCAUUGUAUCUUAAACCCUAAAUUUUAAACCCAACAAAUUAGACAAAAAUCCAAAAUAGCCCUGACAAUUACCUCGAAAGACAACGAAGCCCUUGACAAAAAAAAAAACAACUCGACCCUUGACAAUUACCUUAAAAGGACAACGAGGCCUCUGUGCCAAAAAAAGUUAAUGUUUUUUUUUUGGUAUAGGGACUAAUCAGUCUCAAAAAAAAAAAAAGGAGCCGGAUUUGGUGUUUUUUUUUCCUUGGGGACCUCGUUGUCAGUCCUAGAUAAUUGUCAGGGGCCAAGUGAGGUAUUCACUCAAAAAAUUAUAAUGUCAGAUGGGAACACAGCUCCAAUGACCUAACAACUCCGGAAUUUUGGAUGCACACAUUCUUAAUGGUGUACUUCAUUGUUACUCAGGGAAAAAAUAACAAUAAAAAGAUCAAUCUUCCUUCAAGAUUAAUUAACACUAAUGGAAAUUUGGGAACUCUUAAGAAUGUGUUUGUGCAAAUUAUAGCAUCAAGAAGACGAUGAUGUUACUCGAACAAUGCAACUAAGAAUUAAAAAGAAAGUGUAGUAAUCAAUUCUCAUCCAUUGAAAUUCAUAAUUUAAAAUAAUGAAACAUAAUCAAGGUGUAAGAUAACAUUGCUCAAUAUACCACCAAAAAAAAAUUACUCAAAGGACUUUGUACCGAUGAUUAGCUGCAAAUAAUUUGCACCUUGCA
Molecule: non-coding RNA, 1520 nt
Organism: Arachis ipaensis
Lineage: Eukaryota; Viridiplantae; Streptophyta; Magnoliopsida; Fabales; Fabaceae
Source: RefSeq, a predicted model, not a curated record